GGCUGGCGGCCGGGACCCCCGGCUCUGGGCCUCCCAGUUUGGGCCUCAGUUUCCACAUCCACAAACCGGGGAGAUCCCUUUCUGGAGGCCGAGUGAGCGGGCUCCUCCCCAAAGCAAAGAGAACUCCGAGCCUCGUACUCUUCCCGUCUGAAGUCCGUGGGAACACCAGCUCCAACAGAUCAUUCUGCCCUUUCGUGGAAACAAGAUUCCAGGGAUGUUCUUCCAAAGGGAACCUUAGAUUUUGCGGCGGAACCUGUGUCCAGAUAGGAAGCCUACACACGGAUGGAGGGAGGCUACCUGAGUGCAGGAAAUGAACACGUCUUGACUAACCUCAGCAUUUAGCUGGGAUGCGCCCAGGAUGCCAGUGUUCCCCAGGAACUCCGUGUGAAAACCACUGAACUAGAGUUUGGAAGUUAAAAAAACUGCUCAGCCUCCCGCCUCUGCGAAGUUUGCCCAUCUGUCUGGAAAAAGGCAGUUCAGGCCAUGUUUUUCCCAAGCAAUAGAAAAAGCCAGUCUCAACAAAGCGAGAAGUUUGUCCUAAGAAGCUGGAAGUUUACUUAAGAGAUAUUUCAACAACCUAUGUCUUCGGUAAGUCUCCCCUGAAACAGACUCCUAGAUGGAGACGUGCAUACAGGGUGUUGGGGUUAUUUUGUUUUUGUGUGUGUGCUUUUUGGAGGUGGAAUGUAUUCUUAGGAAUGACACGUGUACGGCAGUAAGGGAAGCAGAAUUGGGCAGAGGGAGGUGAACUUCGAUGCUGUGGCACCAGGGGCCUCAGCUGAGCCCGUGGAGGCUGGAUAACGGUGCAGAGUUGUCCCCAAUAAAACGAGGUGUGGCCUCACAUCCCCAGUGACCAGCCAUUUGAUGCUGGGGGCCCCAGGGAGGGGUGGAACCUUGGCCAAGGCAGCUCCCUCGCCAAGGGCCCUUCAGAGGGAGCUCAGCUGUGAACCACCAACAGCCAACCCUGCAGCUGCUAUAACCUGCCAUGCAGCUGUGAGCCACAUUCAGAGUUCAAAAUCUAGGGAAAAUGUUGAACUGUCAUGAUGUCAGACAUGACAGAUUUCAGACGGACAACUGUCCUAGAUUUCCUCUAGGAGCUGAGAUUUGGGGAGGGGAGGAGAAAGGGCCAUCGUGUGACUGUCAGUUUUCCGCAGUGGAGAUGGGCCAGAGCCAGGCCUAGAUGGCCUGAUACAAGCCAGCUAUGUCUGUGGCUUGACGGAGAAGUCUGUGUUUUUCUUCUCGACUGCAGAAAUUAAGGAAGUAGAAUAACUGGACUGCUACACCUGGAAACUUAACUCCAUAGCCCAGAAUCAGAGUAGGUACUCUACACGUGUCUUUUUGCAUUGAAUAGCAUUUCACUGGUUUGGCGUUUCUGACUGAGGGAUCCAUUGGCUGUCUUUGCGGAAAGUGGGGGAAUUUUUCUUGGAGUAUACCUGCACCAGUAUGCCCACCUUGACUUAAUCGUAUGGGGGUCUACAAGUCUUGUUCAUAAAAUGUGUCGAGCUUGAGGAAGAAAAGGUAAGAAGAUGAGUUUAUUAGACCUUGGCAAAACAAAACAAACAAAACGCCACAACCGAGCAAACAACCUCAUCCACCUGUGGUUCCCUCCGUGGCUGACACUUUACAUUCCCACAGCGUUUUCCUUGUAUAUAUCACUUAGCAUCUAUCUUUUGUUAAAGGGCUUCUUGAUUUUGUUUGUUUUUAAAGCUGUUGUUCUAUCAGGUUGUAAAUGCCUGGAGAGGAGGAUCUCCAGACAUCCUGCCUUGUUUUCUUCACAGUCAGGGAUGAUAUUCAAGGUAGUUAACACCCAGUACAGAACAGGAACCAACCAAAUCAAAUGGACACUGGUCUCAGCAAUUUGUACAGCCAUACUGGUAUGUACAGCUGAGUAUGUUUUCUGCACACAGAAGGCUUCCAAUAAACGAUUGUUGGAUUGAAUUUCAUUGGUUUGGUGUCCUGGCCCUGGCAUCUAAUGGCUUUCUUUCAGAAUUCAGGCUACUUUUUCUUGCCAGGAUAUGACCAUAACCAUUUUUCCUCCUUGAUUUAAUCCUGCAAGAGUCUUUGAGUAAUUGUGAAGAACUUUGUGAGUUCUUCAAACCUGCACUGUCCAAUAUGGUAGACACUAGCCACAUAUAUAAGGUUGCUAGAUAAAAUAUAGGACACCUAGUUAAAUUUGAAUUUCAGAUAAAUAAAGAAUAAAUUUGUAGUGUAAAUGUGUCCCAUGCAAUAUUUGGGAUAUACUUAAACUACAAAAUGAUCUGUUGCUUAUCUGAAAUUAAUAAUUAACUGAGCAUCCUAUGUAUUUAUUUGCUAAAUCUGGUAACCCUACACACGUGGCUAUCUAAACUUAAAUUAAUUGAAAUGUAAUAAAAAAUUUAAAAUUUAUUUUCUCAGCCUCACUGGCCACAUUUCAAGAGCUCUGUAGCCACAUAUGUGGCUAAUGGUUCCCAUCUUGAACAGCACAGAUAUAGAACAUUUCUAUCAUUGCAGAAAGUUUUACUGGACACUAACUUUGCCAAGCAAACGAUAGCAGGAAAGUUUUGUGUAUUUUACACAUUAAAAAAAUAUAUAUUUGGAGCCUAGAAGACCCCUUCUAACAUAGCCAAGAAGCCACAUUCUUCAUGUUUCGGUUUGUUACUUUCACUGAAUAUGCAGGAUAUUUGUUCCAGAUAAAUGAGCCUGUAUGAGAGAAGCAGCUCCUGCAAACCUACGUUUUUGGACGCUGUUGUCCUGCUUUUCUCCUGGGACUGCCAGGAAAUGUCAGCUGUCAGAUCAGAGCAAAUCAAAAUUUAAAGAGUCCUAAAUGAAAAAUAAAUGUGUUGUUAUUUGACUUAAUAGUCUCAUUAUUCAUAGAUUUUCUUAAAUUGAUAAGCAGAUAAUAUUAUCACCUAGAAUAUUUGUUUUAUAACCCAAGUCUGUGAUGAACCUGGUAAACACGGCAGAAGUCUUCCCUCUCUUAAUUAGCCUUUUGGGAGAAAACCUGUUUUGAAUCACUGCCUGCAGCCCCGGGAGUCUUAUAAGGAGCAAGAGUAGAUUAAGCUCUGGGAGGGGCACAUGCCGAGAGCUGAUUUUUACAUAUGACUUGGUGAAUCUCAAACAGAAACUGGCUAACAUGCCAGAUGGGACCAGCGUAAAAGUGACAAGACUGCAUCAAUGUCAAGGGCAGGGAUCUAAAGGACUUGACAUAUUAAACAGUUGUACACCAAAAUAUUAUAAAAAACAAAAUUAAAGACAAAUGACUUAAGUUUGAAAAUUUUGCUAUGUGUGUGACAGAGUUGAUGCCAUCUGUACGUAAGAAGUUCUCACAGAUCAAUAAGAAAAAGACAAAUGCCUCAGUAGAAAAAUGACCAAAUAAUAGGAAAGUCACAAAAUAAAAAAUACAAAAGGAUAAUAUACCUUUAGUGUCUAGAAUAGUGACUGUCACAUAGCGGGCACUCAGUAAAUACCCACUGUCUGAAUGAAUGUCUACGAAAAACAUUUGAUUUCAGGAAUAAUAAAGAACUGCAAAUUAAAAUAACAGUGAAAUAAAU
This is a non-coding RNA of Delphinapterus leucas (beluga whale), 3527 nucleotides long. Lineage: Eukaryota; Metazoa; Chordata; Mammalia; Artiodactyla; Monodontidae. The record is from RefSeq and is a predicted model, not a curated record.